UUGGGUUUAAAGGGAGCGUAGAUGGAUCUUUAAGUCAGUUGUGAAAGUUUGCGGCUCAACCGUAAAAUUGCAGUUGAUACUGGAUAUCUUGAGUGCAGUUGAGGCAGGCGGAAUUCGUGGUGUAGCGGUGAAAUGCUUAGAUAUCACGAAGAACUCCGAUUGCGAAGGCAGCCUGCUAAGCUGCAACUGACAUUGAGGCUCGAAAGUGUGGGUAUCAAACAGGAUUAGAUACCCUGGUAGUCCACACGGUAAACGAUGAAUACUCGCUGUUUGCGAUAUACUGCAAGCGGCCAAGCGAAAGCGUUAAGUAUUCCACCUGGGGAGUACGCCGGCAACGGUGAAACUCAAAGGAAUUGACGGGGGCCCGCACAAGCGGAGGAACAUGUGGUUUAAUUCGAUGAUACGCGAGGAACCUUACCCGGGCUUAAAUUGCAGAUGAAUUACGGUGAAAGCCGUAAGCCGCAAGGCAUCUGUGAAGGUGCUGCAUGGUUGUCGUCAGCUCGUGCCGUGAGGUGUCGGCUUAAGUGCCAUAACGAGCGCAACCCUUGUUGUCAGUUACUAACAGGUUCCGCUGAGGACUCUGACAAGACUGCCAUCGUAAGAUGUGAGGAAGGUGGGGAUGACGUCAAAUCAGCACGGCCCUUACGUCCGGGGCUACACACGUGUUACAAUGGGGGGUACAGAGGGCCGCUACCACGCGAGUGGAUGCCAAUCCCCAAAACCUCUCUCAGUUCGGACUGGAGUCUGCAACCCGACUCCACGAAGCUGGAUUCGCUAGUAAUCGCGCAUCAGCCACGGCGCGGUGAAUACGUUCCCGGGCCCUUGUACACACCGCCCGUCAAGCCAUGGGAGCCGGGGGUACAUGAAGUGCGUAACCGCGAGGAGCGCCCUAGGGUAAAACUGGU
Molecule: ribosomal RNA, 905 nt
Filed under: uncultured organism
Description: SSU rRNA
Rfam family: Bacterial small subunit ribosomal RNA
Source: RNAcentral